UGGGGAAUAUUGGAUAAUGGGGGGAACCCUGAUCCAGCCAUGCCGCGUGUGUGAAGAAGGCCUUAUGGUUGUAAAGCACUUUAAGCGAGGAGGAGGGUACUGGUAUUAAUACUACCAGCUACUGGACGUUACUCGCCGAAUAAGCACCGGCUAACUCUGUGCCAGCAGCCGCGGUAAUACAGAGGGUGCGAGCGUUAAUCGGAUUUACUGGGCGUAAAGCGUGCGUAGGCGGCUAAUUGAGUCGGAUGUGAAAUCCCCGAGCUUAACUUGUGAAUUGCAUUCGAUACUGGUUAGCUAGAGUGUGGGAGAGGAUGGUAGAAUUCCAGGUGUAGCGCUGAAAUGCGUAGAUAUCUGGAGGAAUACCGAUGGCGAAUGCAGCCAUCUGGCCUAACACUGACGCUGACGUACGAAAGCAUGGGAAGCAAACAGG
Molecule: ribosomal RNA, 430 nt
Filed under: Pseudomonadota bacterium
Lineage: Bacteria; Pseudomonadati; Pseudomonadota
Description: Proteobacteria bacterium partial 16S ribosomal RNA
Rfam family: Bacterial small subunit ribosomal RNA
Source: RNAcentral